GAUGAACGCUGGCGGCGUGCUUAACACAUGCAAGUCGAACGGAAAGGCCCAAGCUUGCUUGGGUACUCGAGUGGCGAACGGGUGAGUAACACGUGGGUGAUCUGCCCUGCACUUCGGGAUAAGCCUGGGAAACUGGGUCUAAUACCGGAUAGGACGAUGGUUUGGAUGCCAUUGUGGAAAGUUUUUUCGGUGUGGGAUGAGCUCGCGGCCUAUCAGCUUGUUGGUGGGGUAAUGGCCUACCAAGGCGUCGACGGGUAGCCGGCCUGAGAGGGUGUACGGCCACAUUGGAACUGGGAGACGGCCCACACUCCUACGGGAGGCAGCAGUGGGGAAUAUUGCACAAUGGGCGCAAGCCUGAUGCAGCGACGCCGCGUGGGGGAUGACGGCCUUCGGGUUGUAAACUCCUUUCGCUAGGGACGAAGCGUUUUUGUGACGGUACCUGGAGAAGAAGCACCGGCUAACUACGUG
Molecule: ribosomal RNA, 468 nt
Filed under: uncultured bacterium
Lineage: Bacteria
Description: partial 16S ribosomal RNA
Rfam family: Bacterial small subunit ribosomal RNA
Source: RNAcentral